GUCUAUGGCCGUACCACCCUGAAUGCACCCAAUCUCGUCUGAUCUUGUGAAGCUAAGCAGGGUCAGGCCUGGUUAGUAUUUGGAUGGGAGACAUCCUAUAGAUCUAAUUGUUAUUAGUA
This is a ribosomal RNA of Otolemur garnettii (small-eared galago), 119 nucleotides long. NCBI's taxonomy places the organism in Eukaryota, Metazoa, Chordata, Mammalia, Primates, Galagidae. The record is from Ensembl.